AACAUGUUUUUCAAAAUAAAUCCUUCAAAUGCAUCAUCGACAAUCAUCUCAUUCUGAUUCCAAACCUCAUCCAAACUGCGUAGUGGAUCGAAAACUCGUGAUUCUCGAGAAGUCGAGUUGUCUUAUCUAAGACAUCACUAUAAUCUAGAAUAACCUCAUACAUUGGAACAGAUAAGUGAACGAAGGUCGGAUUCAAACUAAGGUC
RNAcentral lists this long non-coding RNA (205 nucleotides) under Malus domestica (apple). RNAcentral's name for it is "long non-coding RNA (MDOM_LNC019374)". The record is from RNAcentral. Lineage: Eukaryota; Viridiplantae; Streptophyta; Magnoliopsida; Rosales; Rosaceae.